RNAcentral lists this transfer RNA (85 nucleotides) under Felis catus (domestic cat). It matches the Rfam family "tRNA". Rfam says of the family: Transfer RNA (tRNA) molecules are approximately 80 nucleotides in length. Lineage: Eukaryota; Metazoa; Chordata; Mammalia; Carnivora; Felidae. The record is from Rfam by way of RNAcentral.
GCCUGUCUGGCUCAGUUCGUUAAGCGUCUGACUUCAGCUCAGGUAAUGAUCUCGCGGUUUGUGAGUUUGAGCCCCACGUCAGGCU